This 433-nucleotide ribosomal RNA is filed under the name uncultured bacterium. RNAcentral describes it as "partial 16S ribosomal RNA". It matches the Rfam family "Bacterial small subunit ribosomal RNA", at positions 29 to 507 of the family's 1533-position model. The record is from RNAcentral.
AACGAACGCUGGCGGCAUGCCUAACACAUGCAAGUCGAACGAGACCUUCGGGUCUAGUUGCGCACGGGGGCGUAACGCGUGGGAACCGGCCCUUAGGCUCGGAAUAACUCCCCGAAAGGGGUGCUAACACCGGGUAAUUUCCGCGGACAAAAGAUUUAUCGAGUUUGGGUGGGCCCGCGUUGGUUUAGCUAGGUGGGAGGGUAAAAGCCGACCAAGGCGAGGAUCCAUAGCUGGGCUGAGAGGAUGAUCCGCCACACUGGGAGUGGGACACGGCCCAGACUCUUACGCGAGGCAGCAGUGCCGAAUCCUGCCAUACGGGCGGAGUCCUGAUCCAGCUAGGCUGCGUGAGUGAUUAUGUUGUGAGGGUUGUACAGCUCUUUUACCCGGGGUGAUAAUGACGGUACCGGGAGAAUAAGCUCCGGCUAACUCCGUG